GUUUGUUACUAUACCACCCUUGACUCUCUGGAACUUGUCUGAUCUUGGAAGGUAAGCAGGGGUAGGCUUGGUUAGUACUUGGAUGGGAGAAGUUGUUAAUA
RNAcentral lists this ribosomal RNA (101 nucleotides) under Jaculus jaculus (lesser Egyptian jerboa). Lineage: Eukaryota; Metazoa; Chordata; Mammalia; Rodentia; Dipodidae. The record is from RNAcentral.